AGUACGGCGGAACACGUGAAAUUCCGUCGGAAUCCGGGAGGACCAUCUCCCAAGGCUAAAUACUCCCUAGUGACCGAUAGUGAACCAGUACCGUGAGGGAAAGGUGAAAAGCACCCCGGAAGGGGAGUGAAACAGUUCCUGAAACCGUGUGCCUACAAGUAGUUAGAGCCCGUUAAUGGGUGAUAGCGUGCCUUUUGUAGAAUGAACCGGCGAGUUACGAUUUGUUGCAAGGUUAAGCGGAAAAAGCGGAGCCGUAGCGAAAGCGAGUCUGAAUAGGGCGCAUAAGUAACAGGUCGUAGACCCGAAACCAGGUGAUCUACCCAUGUCCAGGAUGAAGGUAAGGUAAUACUUACUGGAGGUCCGAACCCACGCACGUUGAAAAGUGCGGGGAUGAGGUGUGGGUAGCGGAGAAAUUCCAAUCGAACUUGGAGAUAGCUGGUUCUCUCCGAAAUAGCUUUAGGGCUAGCCUCGAGGUAAAGAGUCAUGGAGGUAGAGCACUGUUUGGACUAGGGGCCCUUCUCGGGUUACCGAAUUCAGAUAAACUCCGAAUGCCAUGUACUUAUACUCGGGAGUCAGACUGCGAGUGAUAAGAUCCGUAGUCGAAAGG
RNAcentral lists this ribosomal RNA (607 nucleotides) under Listeria monocytogenes. Its description in RNAcentral is "partial 23S ribosomal RNA". It matches the Rfam family "Bacterial large subunit ribosomal RNA", at positions 411 to 1018 of the family's 2925-position model. Lineage: Bacteria; Bacillati; Bacillota; Bacilli; Caryophanales; Listeriaceae. The record is from RNAcentral.